GCCAAUAAAAAGAACAAAAACACAAAAGUCUAAUAAAAAUAAAACUUCCCCCUACACAUAUAUUAAUUUCAGGUUUCUUCUGAACAUGAAGGGUUCCUGGUAAUUGUUAUCUCAUCAGGCAAGGAUUGCAUUGACAUGGUGCUAUCUUCACCAGAGGGCGUUGUUAAUGAGCUAAAAGACAAACUAACCACUAAAGGACGCGAUUUUGGCAAGUUCAUUAUGGGUUCAUCAGGAUUCAAAAACAGCUGAGAAAUUUUUCUCAUAGUUGGCCGAAAUUUAGACCCUGGAUGCAAACAAGCAAGUCCAACCAUUAGAGUCCUUCUCACUUGAUUCGGGUCAUAUUUUCCAUACAAACUCUGAUCAACGCAGCUCAGAAGCUCGUCCUUUUCGUGCAGUUCCCAUACAUAAUCCACAAGGCUGUUCUCAUCCAUUAUCCCUUUCGAUCUUUUUCCACAAACAACCUCUACAACCACCAUUCCAAAGCUAUAUACAUCGGAUUCAGGUGUUGCCCUACCCGUGUAACUUACUUCUGGUGCUAGGUACCCUAUCGUCCCAGCAACCAUUGUCGUGACCGAUGUAUCAUUAUGGAUCAACCUAGCCAGACCAAAAUCACCUAAAUGUGCAUUGAAGUGGGAAUCUAACAUUAUGUUGUUUGGCUUUACAUCACGGUGAACAACCGGGCUACCACAUUCUUCGUGAAGGUAGACUAAUACCGAGGCUAAACCUGCUAGAAUGUUGUAACGUUGUUCCCAGUUGAGCAUUGGUUUCCCAAUGUACUUAUCGAGGCUACCAUUAGGCAUGUACUCAUAGACAAGAAGGAGUUGAUCACGAUCGUGACACCAACCUUCUAAUUGUACCAAGUUUUUGUGCCUUAAUCGUCCAAUCGUGCAGAUCUCAGCCAAAUACUCUUUCUCGCCUACAAAAUAAACUAAAAGUUAUACAUGUAUAUACAUAUACAACACGAAGAAAGCCGGCAUACCUUGAGAAAAACCUAUAAUAUAUACACACGAGGAACUAGUUAUUGUGAAACAUGUAUUAAAGUAAAACAAAUAGGAUAAAAUCUUGACCAUUGUAUACACUGAUGCACAAAGAGUUUCAUGAUGUAGAACGGUUUUCGGUUAAUUAAAUUUUAUUGUUUUUUUUUUGUUAUUCUAUAAUACUUGUUUUAUUUGAACCAGAAGCCAAACACAUAUAUAGGAUUUUAUGCUGCAAAGUACUACUGAUAUGUUGGGCAAACCUUGAGUUGAUGUUGCAGAAACCUUUUUGACAGCUAUUAUUUUCAAAGGAUUCGAUAAAUGACCUUUGUAAACGCUUCCAAAACCACCCGUUCCUACCUAAUUGCUCUUAUGGCAAGUGGAAGAAUAGCCACGAUCAAAAGCAAAAGCGCGAACAGUACAGGAACAAUGAUCAGCAAUAGGAUCUUCAUUUUGCCUCUGCCAACACCUGAUUUGAGUGAUUUUUCAGGCAGAUCAUAUGAUGUGAAAUUCCAGCUAACAAUAUGAUGAGAUUGAUGUUUACUGGCGGUUGCACCUGUGAAUCCAAUGAAAACUUGUUUCGGUACAGUUUUUUUCAUGACAAUGUGUUGCUUAAUGAAAUCGAUUAGGGGUUCUCCAGUGUAUGCUACCGAAAUGUGAAGAUUUUUUCCCCAGCCUUCA
Long non-coding RNA from Erigeron canadensis, 1655 nucleotides. RefSeq lists it as uncharacterized. NCBI's taxonomy places the organism in Eukaryota, Viridiplantae, Streptophyta, Magnoliopsida, Asterales, Asteraceae. The record is from RefSeq and is a predicted model, not a curated record. The transcript has 2 exons.